GAUGAACGCUGGCGGCGUGCCUAAUACAUGCAAGUCGAGCGAACGGACGAGAAGCUUGCUUCUCUGAUUUUAGCGGCGGACGUGUGAGUAACACGUGGAUAACCUACCUAUAAGACUGGGAUAACUUCGGGAAACCGGCGCUAAUCCCGGAUGAUAUUUUGCACCGCAUGGUUCAAAUGUGAAAGACGGUCUUGCUGUCACUUAUAGAUGGAUCCGCGCUGCAUUAGCUAGUUGGUAAGGUAACGGCUUACCAAGGCAACGAUGCAUAGCCGACCUGAGAGGGGGAUCGGCAACAUGGGAACGGAGAAACGGUCAAGACUCCUAGGGGAGGCAGAGGAAGGGAAUCUUCCGCAAUGGGCGAAAGCCUGACGGAGAAACGCCGCGGGAGUGAUGAAGGUCUUCGGAUCGUAAAACUCUGUUAUUAGGGAAGAACAUAUGUGUAAGUAACUGUGCACAUCUUGACGGUACCUAAUCAGAAAGCCACGGCUAACUACGUG
Molecule: ribosomal RNA, 497 nt
Filed under: uncultured bacterium
Lineage: Bacteria
Description: partial 16S ribosomal RNA
Rfam family: Bacterial small subunit ribosomal RNA
Source: RNAcentral